ACUCCUACGGGAGGCAGCAGUGGGGAAUAUUGCACAAUGGGGGAAACCCUGAUGCAGCCAUGCCGCGUGUGUGAAGAAGGCCUUCGGGUUGUAAAGCACUUUCAGUAGGGAGGAAGGUAGUGUAGUUAACACCUGCAUUAUUUGACGUUACCUACAGAAGAAGCACCGGCUAACUCCGUGCCAGCAGCCGCGGUAAUACGGAGGGUGCGAGCGUUAAUCGGAAUUACUGGGCGUAAAGCGCAUGCAGGCGGCCUGUUAAGUCAGAUGUGAAAGCCCGGGGCUUAACCUCGGAAUUGCAUUUGAAACUGGCAGGCUAGAGUCUUGUAGAGGGGUUAGAAUUUCAGGUGUAGCGGUGAAAUGCGUAGAGAUCUGAAGGAAUACCAGUGGCGAAGGCGGCCCCUGGACAAAGACUGACGCUCAGAUGCGAAAGCGUGGGAGCAAACAGGAUUAGAUACCCCGUGGUAGACUGUCA
Molecule: ribosomal RNA, 472 nt
Filed under: uncultured bacterium
Lineage: Bacteria
Description: bacterial SSU rRNA
Rfam family: Bacterial small subunit ribosomal RNA
Source: RNAcentral